ACGGGAGGCAGCAGUGGGGGAUAUUGCACAAUGGAGGAAACUCUGAUGCAGCAACGCCGCGUGAAGGAAGAAGGCUUUCGGGUUGUAAACUUCUUUUAAGUGGGACGAUAAUGACGGUACCACUUGAAUAAGCUCCGGCUAACUACGUGCCAGCAGCCGCGGUAAUACGUAGGGAGCAAGCGUUAUCCGGAUUUACUGGGUGUAAAGGGCGUGUAGGCGGGACAGCAAGUCAGAUGUGAAAGCACGAGGCUCAACUUCGUGUCUGCAUUUGAAACUGCUGUUCUUGAGUGCUGGAGAGGCUAACGGAACUCCUAGUGUAGCGGUGAAAUGCGUAGAUAUUAGGAAGAACACCAGUGGCGAAGGCGGUUAGCUGGACAGUAACUGACGCUGAGGCGCGAAAGCGUGGGUAGCAAACAGGAUUAGAUACCCUGGUA
RNAcentral lists this ribosomal RNA (434 nucleotides) under uncultured Oscillospiraceae bacterium. Its description in RNAcentral is "bacterial SSU rRNA". It matches the Rfam family "Bacterial small subunit ribosomal RNA", at positions 341 to 792 of the family's 1533-position model. The record is from RNAcentral. Lineage: Bacteria; Bacillati; Bacillota; Clostridia; Eubacteriales; Oscillospiraceae.